RNAcentral lists this ribosomal RNA (1564 nucleotides) under Staphylococcus aureus. Its description in RNAcentral is "bacterial SSU rRNA". The stretch from base 577 to 1564 matches the Rfam family "Bacterial small subunit ribosomal RNA", at positions 1 to 970 of the family's 1533-position model. Lineage: Bacteria; Bacillati; Bacillota; Bacilli; Caryophanales; Staphylococcaceae. The record is from RNAcentral.
ACUAUGCAAAUGAAAUUCUUUUGUAAUUGAAAUGAUAGAUGCUGGCUUAGUAAGUUGUACUUCUUUGGUCUAAAGCUUAUUAAAUCAGCCUGUAUAGCGGUGUUUUGAGAGAUUAUUUAAAACUUGUAAAUUUAUUUUUAAUUUCUGGUAAAAAAAUAACGUUCUGUUUUGCGUUUUUUUUGAUUGAUAUGGUUAGAGAAAAAUCUGUUUCUUGUUCUAAAAAACGUACUAUUUAUAAGUGGGGAUUUUUUAAGUUCGAUUUUUAGGAUAAGGGCGUUCAGUACAGAUGACAAAGGUGUAAUUUUUACUGUUGUUAAGCAGUUUGAAAGCCUGUAUAGUAUUUAUUUGUUGAGGCAAACAAAACAACUCAACUUAAGAAAUAACUUGAAUUACUAACGAAAAUUAAUUUUAAAAAGUUAUUGACUUAAAUGUUAAUAAAAUGUAUAAUUAAUUCUUGUCGGUAAGAAAAAUGAACAUUGAAAACUGAAUGACAAUAUGUCAACGUUAAUUCCAAAAAACGUAACUAUAAGUUACAAACAUUAUUUAGUAUUUAUGAGCUAAUCAAACAUCAUAAUUUUUAUGGAGAGUUUGAUCCUGGCUCAGGAUGAACGCUGGCGGCGUGCCUAAUACAUGCAAGUCGAGCGAACGGACGAGAAGCUUGCUUCUCUGAUGUUAGCGGCGGACGGGUGAGUAACACGUGGAUAACCUACCUAUAAGACUGGGAUAACUUCGGGAAACCGUAGCUAAUACCGGAUAAUAUUUUGAACCGCAUGGUUCAAAAGUGAAAGACGGUCUUGCUGUCACUUAUAGAUGGAUCCGCGCUGCAUUAGCUAGUUGGUAAGGUAACGGCUUACCAAGGCAACGAUGCAUAGCCGACCUGAGAGGGUGAUCGGCCACACUGGAACUGAGACACGGUCCAGACUCCUACGGGAGGCAGCAGUAGGGAAUCUUCCGCAAUGGGCGAAAGCCUGACGGAGCAACGCCGCGUGAGUGAUGAAGGUCUUCGGAUCGUAAAACUCUGUUAUUAGGGAAGAACAUAUGUGUAAGUAACUGUGCACAUCUUGACGGUACCUAAUCAGAAAGCCACGGCUAACUACGUGCCAGCAGCCGCGGUAAUACGUAGGUGGCAAGCGUUAUCCGGAAUUAUUGGGCGUAAAGCGCGCGUAGGCGGUUUUUUAAGUCUGAUGUGAAAGCCCACGGCUCAACCGUGGAGGGUCAUUGGAAACUGGAAAACUUGAGUGCAGAAGAGGAAAGUGGAAUUCCAUGUGUAGCGGUGAAAUGCGCAGAGAUAUGGAGGAACACCAGUGGCGAAGGCGACUUUCUGGUCUGUAACUGACGCUGAUGUGCGAAAGCGUGGGGAUCAAACAGGAUUAGAUACCCUGGUAGUCCACGCCGUAAACGAUGAGUGCUAAGUGUUAGGGGGUUUCCGCCCCUUAGUGCUGCAGCUAACGCAUUAAGCACUCCGCCUGGGGAGUACGACCGCAAGGUUGAAACUCAAAGGAAUUGACGGGGACCCGCACAAGCGGUGGAGCAUGUGGUUUAAUUCGAAGCAACGCGAAGAACC